Molecule: ribosomal RNA, 118 nt
Filed under: Propithecus coquereli (Coquerel's sifaka)
Lineage: Eukaryota; Metazoa; Chordata; Mammalia; Primates; Indriidae
Source: RNAcentral
GUCUACAGUCAUACCACCCUGAACAUGCCAGAUCUCAUCUGAUCUCAGAAGCUAAGCAAGGUCAGGCCUGGUUAGUACUUGGAUGGGAGACUAAAUGGACAGUUUUCAAAAGAAGACA